GCAGUAGCUUCAAUUUUUAGUAUAUAUUUUCCACUGUUUUUAUAGGGGUUAGAUACACCUGGAGCAAUAGUAAAGUUGUCUUCAUGUGACGUAUAGGUUACGGGUUUGAACCAUGCUGGAAUCAGCUCAUGAUGCUUGCAUCAAAGUUGGCGGCGUCGGCCCUUCCCGGACCUAGUCAAUGCGGGUUGAUUAGAGCACUAGGUUACCCUUUUUAGUCUGUAGGGGCAAGUUAAUUUAUGUUAAUUCAUUUCCUCAAGUUUUUGGUUUCUCAUAUGUGUUGGAUGGAAAUAAAAAAACGUUAGUUCUUGUUCUCUCGUUCUUCUUCUUUUCACUUUUAACUAAAUUCAAGAAUGCAACCUUAUUAUAUAGUACUAAUAUAUACAAAAAGCAAGAAUUUUAUGAAUUUCAAACACAUGGAAAUUUGCUCAAAAUCAUAAAGAAAGCUAGUCAGUAUUCAUUCUACCCAUUGGCUCGUACAAGAAGAUAAAUACUCCCUCCGUUCCUUUUUAUAUGUUAUCUUUUUCUAUAAAUAGUUGGUUCAUAAUACUUGUCAUGUCAUAAAAUUAAUGCAUAAAUUACCAUAUUAUUCCUUUUUUACUCUUGUGAGUUAUUAGCCUUGAAAAUAUACAUUUGACCAACUUAGAAAAGCUAAGUAAUUGAUUCAUGUUCAUUGGUUAAAUUAAUCAAUCAAAAUAAAUUAAUUCAUAUUCAUUGAUUGAAAACUUGAGUUGCAAAAAAAUUAAAUAAGGGUAGAAGGGUAAAACUACAUCAUUUGUUAAUGCAAGUGCAAAGUAAAAAUGUGACAUAUAAAAAAGGAACGGAGGGAGUAUCAUAUAAUAUGCAAAAAUAUAACUUAAUUACCUGUAUUUUUUCUCAAACUUGGUGUAAUUUAUUAGACAAAGCUCUUGUUGAGGAGAAAUUGACAAGCCAGCAAUGCCUCUUUGUUUGUUGUAUUUUCAUCCGCUCAACUUAGUAGAAAAUGCACGAUCGCUCAAAAAAAUAUUUCACAGAAAUAAUUAUUACAAAUAAUUAACAUCUAGAAGGUUGUAGCAACAAAUAUACUCGGACAUUAAAAAAAAUAAUAUUUUUUUCUAAAAUGCAAUGAAACAAUUAACAUCUAGGUUUGAAGGUAGAAUUGUUCAAACUUCAAAUCCAUACAUGUUUGAAGUUUGUAACUUCAACCCCCAAUUUUUAACUCCAAUCACAUGUAUGAAUAUGUGCGCGUGUUUUUGUUGUUAGUUGUAUUUACCAAUUACUAUGCAUGUAUAUCAGGGCAAGAACAAUUGAUAUAUGUAUACCCUAUUUUUAUUAUACAUGUGAGGCUACAAUUAUUGAUUGAGUCCAAUUAAUGAAAUCAAAAGAACUUUUAAAUAAUUUUUUAUUUCUACCCUUAAUAUUAACUAACUGCAUAAAAUAGUAAUAAUCAAAUUUAAUAACGGUCAUAAAAAUAAUAUUAAAAUUUUGUGACAAAUUCAUAAAAAUAUUAUUCUGUUUAUAAUAUUAAUGAACUUAAAGAAAAAAAUUAUAAAUACUUAGGUUAAAAAAUAAAUUAUAUAUUAUAUAAAGAGGUCUUACAUAUAUGUGAUAUAAACAAGGGUAAAAUGAAUAAUGCAUAGAAUAAAGGGGGAGUUUGAUGAUUGUUCAAAGUUGAGGGAAAGUUUGAUUUUUAAAGCAAAGUUGGAAGGUGAAUAUGUUUAUUUUUCAAAUACUCACUGUUUUCAUGGUCAAACACUCACAGGCAAAAAUGUGUGUGUGGUGAAGUGGUGAUGGUGGGAUCAAAUGAAAAAUUGUGAAUACCGCGUUAUAUAAACGAACCAGCGUAAGGAAAUUGUUUUGAACAAAAUGAGUAUUAACAUUUCGCGACACAGCUGAGGCCUGAGAGUGAAAACUAAUUAAACACUUGAUCAGCAUAAUUGCCUAGGAGAAAUUUCUAGGAAGCUGCAAUCACCCACUUGUUUAGAAAGUAGAAAUGAGGAGUAAUACAAACCUUAAACAAAAAAGUGCCAAUAGUUUGAGUUGAAUACUACAAUUGAAUUUAACAAGCAUUUCACUUACUCAAAAAAUUAGCAAAGAUUCAAUCGUUAAUCAUAGAGUAACGUCGAGAGAUUCAGAUUAUAGUAUAAUAAAAACAAUAUUAAUGGUUUCUGAUUCAAGUUUUAACAUUUGAAAUUUGUAACUUCCAAAUAUACAAGUUGAUGUCUGUUAUACUUUUUAACUAUAUUGUCGUCUUGAUGUUUGAAGGACUAGAAUAUUAAUUUAAAUUGACUUCAUUUAUUAAGGCAUAUACUGAGGCAUGACGUUGUUGGAAUAGUAGAGUGCUUGGAAGUGUCCUUUCCGAUAUUUUGACGUCACUUUUGUUAGAUCCUUUUCAAUCAUAUAUCUCUAUCUGAUUCUGUCUUAAGUAUCAUGGCCAUACUAAUCACAACAAAGUUCAUUCUUAUUUUAUACUAGAUCCAGAAAAAGAAGUAGUGUGCAUGUAAUACUGAUCGGAGGUCAGAUAAGUAUAGUAUACAGUUAGCUAGGAUGAUGGAGGUGGAUCAUGGAUCAGACAUUGAAGCUCAGGGGAGUUCCCCGCUGUUGAUGAAUGGUGAAUUGGGUAAUUCUAGUUUGAUCAUGAGGAGGUCGCCACUCAUUUUUCCAUCUAUUUACAAGUUCAUCGAAGCUGGAGCAAGCAUACCAUCUCUUUCACGAGUGUCAUCGUCGUCUUCAUCAUCAAACACAACCUUUUAUACUCCCCAUGCCAGCUUUAAUCUUAAACAUGGAGUAUGUAUAUAAACAAAAACACCUGCACACACACACACACACACACACACAUAUAUAUAUAUAUAUAUAUAUUAGCUAUAUUGAUGAUAUUAAUUUUAUAUAUGUUCUGUCUAAUCAGAACUCUGAAGGUGGUGGAGAUGAAAUUCAGAUUGUUGAAAUUGUGGCAGCUAUACCCGAUGUUUAUACUGUACAAUCAAACAAUGAGAUUGAACUUCAGCCUCAUGAUCAGAGUACUCAUCAGCAAUGCUUAAAAAUUAGUGAAGAGACUGUGAAGGAGAAGAAGUUGGAUUGGAGGUAUUCCCAAUUCAUGAUCCGACAAUUGGUAGGUAAGGAACCAACUAUUUUUCUCCUUGCAAUUGCUGCAAUAUUGUCGUUUGUUUUUGGAAUCAAAGAAGAAGGUGUGCAGAAUGGUUGGUUUGAAGGAGCACUCUUGGUUGUGAUAAUAUUUGUGAUUGUUUCGUUUAAGUUUGCACGAAAUUGGUACAAAAGACGCAUUUGGAAUAAGCAAAAAGAGAACAGAGCAAGGAAGAACCAGCAGUUGGUUUCUGAAACGGACUCCAGUUUCUGUGCCGACUUUGACAAGUUGAACAAUUACAUACAUAUUAGUGGGUUGUUGAUUGGCAUUUUGAUCACUGUGGUGCUGUUCAUUCGCUUUAAAUUGGGCAAUAAAGAUGAUGAGAACGGAUAUAGAUUGGAAACCAAGGAAGAACCUACUGAAAUUGCACGGAUAAUGAAUGCCGUGAAGAAGAUUUUAACAGAAUCAAAGGGAACAGUAAGAGUUAUGAUAACUUCUCUUGGUGUCACACUGGUAGGGAUGACUGAAGGAGUACCAUUUCUUAUUUCAGUUGCAAUGGCAUAUUGGUAUCCGAAUUUUGAUGUCAACAUGGAAUCAAUCAGCACCCUCUGUAUAGGAAAUGUUGGCUGGUUGAAAGAGCCAAAAUUGAAAGUUACCCAGUUUUUCCUUGACAAAAAAGAUAUUACCAAGAUACCGCCACAUGUCUGCAGUGUUCUCUCUGAUGGAAUUGGCCGUGUGUCCACUCGGACUUCUCAAACAGCCUACCACAGAGUAAAAGAAGCAAUACUCUGUUGGGCAGAGAAGAACACGGGUAUGCAGAGAGACACUUUGGAUAAGCAGUUUACCAUAGUGAAGGACAACGAUGAUGAGAUGAAUCCUUUUGAAGGACCUUGUGAAGUCGUCAUAGAGAAAGAUGGAGGUAAUGGGAAAGAGUACUAUUCAUAUUUGAAGGGCCCUGCUGAUUCAAUAUUGUCAAUGUGUUCAAGUUACUAUGACAUGAACGGUGAAGUGCAGGAUUUGGAUGACGGAACAAAGAGUAACAUUGCUCAAACUAACAACAACAACAUGAGCGUAGUUGCAUUUGCCUUCAAACACACUCAAGACGUUGUUGAACUUGAUGAAAAUGGCCUAACAUUCAUUGGUAUGUUUGUCUUAGAAGAUACUUUCAAUCUAGACAACAUGAGGCAAGGAAUUGCGAUUCUGAAAGAAGGUGGAGUGAAGAUGAUAUUUGCCUCGGACGAAGAUGUUGAAGUGCUUAGAACCAUUGGUGAUGAAACAGGAUUGCUCAACUCACAUGAUGCUCUAGUAGUUAGGGGAGAAGAGGCUACAAAGGAAAAUGUUCAUAAAAUUUGCAUUAUGGGAAAUUCAUCUCCUGCACACAAGCGUCUUUUAAUAGAGCAGUUGAAGAAAAGAGGAGAAGUGGUGGCUGUGGUAGGAGAACAAGCAUCUGAAAGUAAUGUGGUUCUUGAAGCAGCUCAUUUUGGCCUGCCUGUGGUGACUAACUGGCCUGAAACUAUAAUUUAUGUGAUUAACAGCAUCAAGGGAGGAAGAAUUGUUUGUGAGAAUAUGAGGCAGUUCAUCCAAGUUGAGAUAAUCUUGGCAAUCAGUAGCUUAUUAAUAAACUUCAUACUGGUUAUAUUAGACGGAGAUGGCCCGUUAACAGUCAUACAGUUGGUAUGGGUAAACCUUCUUGUAACAUUUAUUGGAGGGCCAGCUUUGCUAAUUACUCAACAGGCCACAAGACAACAAAGGGAUGAGCUUUCUAUCAUACCAAGAAAACCACCUAUUACCAAGGUUAUGUGGAGAAACAUUCUUUUUCAAGCUUCUUAUCAGACUGGCAUUUUUGUAUUCCUUCAACAAAGAGGAAGUGCGAUACUGGGCAUCACUCCAAAAGUUAACAGAUCUAUAGUCCUUAACGGGUUCGCUCUGUGCCAGCUUUUUAACAUAUUCAGUGCAAGGGAUUUGGAGCAGAAGAAUUUUUUCAAAGGUCUUGGUCAAAAUUACUUGUUUUGGGCUUUGUCUGUGAUCUAUCUUGUGUUGCAGCUUGGAUUCAUUGAAGUAGAGGCUGUCUUUGUCUUUACCAACACGGCACGACUGAAUUGGAAGCAAUGGGUUGAAUCCAUUUUAAUUGGAGUUGUUACAUGGUUGCUUGAUGUGAUAGUAAAAUGGGCAUCACAAUACAUAAACAAAUAUUGUGACUGGAGUUCUUCACCCAGUCAGAAACUGGUUCCAGAAUUGGUUUGCCAGAAUCAACUGUUGUGACAGUGGACCAAGAAGUGCACCAAAUUCUACCCUUGCUUCCUUGGAUUCUCCAAGAUCCACUAGUGGAAAGGUACUACACAAAUCUAUCCAUACUGCCUAAUUACACUAAGUUCAAACAGAAGUCUUUUCUUUCUAAAAUUUUGGAUUCAAGUUGUAAUUGUUAUUCUUUUGUAGGGCUGGAUAACAAAUAUCACACGUGUGUGAAACCAACCAAACAUAGAGCUAAUACUUUGAUGGAUCAAUCAUAUGUUGCAGUAGCUUCGAUUUUUAGUACAUAUUUUCCACUGGUUUCUAUAGGGUUAGAUACACCUAGAACAACAGUAAAAUUGUAUCCAUGUGACCUAUAAGUUAAGGGUUCGAGCCAUUCUGGAAUCAGCCCCUGAUGCUUUGCAUCAAGGUAGGCUGCAUAUGUCACACCCUAAAAGGGCGUCGGCCCUUCCCGGACCCAGUAAAUGCAGGAUAAUUAGGUCACUAGGUUGCCCUUUUUAGUCUAUAGGGGCUAGUUAAUUUAUGUUAACUCAUUUGUCAAGUUUUUCGGUGUCUCAUUUGUAUUGGAUGGAUAAAAAAAAAAUGUAUGUUCUUGUUCUCGUUCUUCUUAUUUAAAUAUAUACAAAAAAAAACAAGAAUUUUAUGAAUUUCAAACACAUGAAAAUUUGCUCAAAAUCAUAAAGGAAGCUAGUCAGUACACAUUCUACUUAUUGGCUCGUAUAAGAAGAUAAAUAUCACAUAAUAUGCAAAAACAAAUAUAACUUAAUUACCUCGAUCUAUUUUUUGUCAUACUUGGUGUAAUGUAAAAGACAAAGCUCUUGUUGAGGAGAAAUUGGCAAACCAGCACUGCCAUUGGAAGAGACUUUUCUUUAGCAAAGUCAACUUCCAGUGGUCGUUUCCU
RNAcentral lists this long non-coding RNA (6209 nucleotides) under Solanum tuberosum (potato). Its description in RNAcentral is "long non-coding RNA (STUB_LNC003227)". Lineage: Eukaryota; Viridiplantae; Streptophyta; Magnoliopsida; Solanales; Solanaceae. The record is from RNAcentral.